AUACGUAGGGGACGAGCGUUGUCCGGAAUUACUGGGCGUAAAGGGCGCGAAGGCGGAUAUUUAAGUCAGCUGUAAAAGGCAUGAGCUCAACUCAUGUAUGCGGUUGAACCUGGGUAUCUAGAGUGCUGGAGAGGUAGGCGGAAUUCCCGGUGUCGCGGUGAAAUGCGUAGAUAUCGGGAAGAACACCAGUGGCGAAGGCGGCUUACUGGCCAGCAACUGACGCUGAGGCGCGAAAGCCAGGGGAGCGAACGGGAUUAGAUACCCCGGUAGUCCUGGCCGUAAACGAUGAAUGCUAGGUGUGGGUGUCGAGAGGCAUCCGUGCCGGAGUUAACGCGAUAAGCAUUCCGCCUGGGGAGUACGAUCGCAAGAUUGAAACUCAAAGGAAUUGGCGGGG
RNAcentral lists this ribosomal RNA (394 nucleotides) under uncultured bacterium. RNAcentral describes it as "partial 16S ribosomal RNA". It matches the Rfam family "Bacterial small subunit ribosomal RNA", at positions 523 to 918 of the family's 1533-position model. The record is from RNAcentral.